This 413-nucleotide long non-coding RNA is filed under the name Priapulus caudatus. Its description in RNAcentral is "uncharacterized LOC106810134, transcript variant X2". Lineage: Eukaryota; Metazoa; Priapulida; Priapulimorpha; Priapulimorphida; Priapulidae. The record is from RNAcentral.
GACGGGAGGAACAGAGCGAGACGCGGGAGAGAGAACGGUGGAUAUACACUCGGCGUGAGAACUAUGUUUCGCCAAGCAGGUGUGAAGUCCAUCAACCGCACGACUGUAAGAUAUGCACGCGAUGUUUAUGAUUAACUAAAAUUUGUUUCUUUCAUCGUUCCUGUUGCUGCUGACAGCGGCCGCACAAGCAGCGAGCUUCUGCCCAGAGGAUCAUGUCAUUUCUCCAUGCACCUGCCUCAAUGAUCACGACGGCGCGAGCGUCAGUUGCUACGGCGGGUACAUGUCAGCGGCAGAGAUGACGGCCAUCGUUGGCCGCUUGCAGAACACGACGAUGAGUCGCCUUCAGAUCUACAGCUUCAGCGACCUGACCGAGAUACCGGCAGGCAUGUUCCGCGGCAUGAAGAUAGUUUCGC